Diachasmimorpha longicaudata is the source of this 1357-nucleotide RNA transcript. RefSeq lists it as uncharacterized. The transcript has 8 exons. NCBI's taxonomy places the organism in Eukaryota, Metazoa, Arthropoda, Insecta, Hymenoptera, Braconidae. The record is from RefSeq and is a predicted model, not a curated record.
AAUAAAUAAAAAGAAGAUAAACACUGCGGUUACGGCGGAGAGACGUCUGAGUGGACAGUUCCGUUCGCCGAGUCCAAUAGCGAGGUCGCAGUUUUUUUUUUUCCUUUGUUAUCGAAUUUUUUUCUUUGUUUGAAAGUGAAGGCUGCCGAAGUGAUAAUGUCUAAUUUACCACCGACAUAUGUGGAGGGUUUCCACGACCUGGAGGCUGUCAAAGCCAUGGAGUACAGGCCUCUGGGGAAGACAGGUCUGAUGGUCAGCGAGUUAUCAUUCGGAGGAGGUCCUCUGGGUUGUCAUUAUGGGGAGUACGAUGAAGAGGAGGCUAUUGCUACCAUUCGUGAGGCCCUUCGGAAGGGAAUUAAUUAUAUCGACACGGCCCCCUGGUAUGGCCAAGGUCGAUCAGAAAGAACCAUUGGAAGAGCCCUCGAAGGAAUUCCCAGAAAGGCCUAUUACAUCGCGACAAAAGUCGGAAGAUAUUCAUUGGAUUUCGAAAAUAUGUUCGACUUCACCGCUCAGAGAACACGAAAAAGUGUUGAAGACAGUCUGAAACUCCUUCAGCUCGAUUACGUCGAUGUUUUACAAGUUCACGAUGUGGAAUUCGCUCCAUCCCUGGACAUCAUCAUAACUCAAACACUGCCGGAGAUAUCACGUCAGGUCAGCCAGGGAAGAGCCAGAUUCAUCGGCAUCACGGGAUAUCCAGUUUCUGUUUUGAAAGAGUGCAUUGAUAAGAGCAAUAUUAACAUAUCUGUGAUAUUAUCGUAUGCCAGGUAUACACUCAUCGACGAUACUCUCCUCCAGUACAUCCCAUUUUUCCAGGACCACAAUAUAGGAAUAAUAAAUGCAUCAGCUCCCUGUAUGGGCCUUCUGGUGAAUACACCGCCCCCAGACUGGCACCCAGCGAGUGAGGAAACUAAAAAACAAUGUUAUCAGGCUGUUCAAUACUGCAACGAUCACGAUUUAAAACUCGCGAGAUUGGCUGUUUGGUACGCAAUGCAGCACUCAGACAUUGCGACUAAUCUCAUUGGAAUGCAGAACUUGGAGCAGUUGCGAAUGAACUUGGAUAUAGUGUACAAUGGCAUUACAGAUGAGGAGAAAACAGCACUGGAUGAAGUUGUGAAGAGCGCACGAUAUCGAAGACUUAUUAAAUGUCUCUUCUAAACUUCCCGUUUGAAUAUCGCCCCCUUGUUCUACGAAAGCAAUGUUCAACGCAGAUUCUUAAUGAAGGUCAAAGGUUCUCACUGGGAGAAUAAAGAGAUAAAGGCGUACAGAGCAGCUCUAGGAAUGUAAAAAAUAUAUAUUUCGUAUAAAAGUUAUUCAUUUAUCAUGUAAAAUAGAAAUAAAGUGAAUUUUUAAACUUUAA